UACAGGGGGGGCAAGCGUUGUUCGGAAUUACUGGGCGUAAAGGGCUCGUAGGUGGCCAACUAAGUCAGACGUGAAAUCCCUCAGCUUAACUGGGGAACUGCGUCUGAUACUGGAUGGCUUGAGUUUGGGAGAGGGCUGCGGAAUUCCAGGUGUAGCGGUGAAAUGCGUAGAUAUCUGGAGGAACACCGGUGGCGAAGGCGGCAUCCUGGACCAACACUGACACUGAGGAGCGAAAGCCAGGGGAGCAAACGGG
Molecule: ribosomal RNA, 253 nt
Filed under: uncultured bacterium
Lineage: Bacteria
Description: partial 16S ribosomal RNA
Rfam family: Bacterial small subunit ribosomal RNA
Source: RNAcentral